GACGAACGCUGGCGGCGUGCUUAACACAUGCAAGUGGAGCGACGAACCGGGCUUCGGCCCGGGGCAAAGCCGCGAACGGGUGAGUAACACGUGGGUUACCUGCCCCGAUGACUGGGACGAACCCGGGAAACCCGGGCUAAUACCGGAUGUGCCCUAAGGGGAAGGAAGCUUCGGCCUCGCAUCGGGAUGGGCCCGCGGCCCAUUAGCUUGUUGGUGAGGGUAACGGCCCACCAAGGCUUCGAUGGGUAGCUGGUCUGAGGGG
This 262-nucleotide ribosomal RNA is filed under the name uncultured bacterium. Its description in RNAcentral is "partial 16S ribosomal RNA". It matches the Rfam family "Bacterial small subunit ribosomal RNA", at positions 28 to 299 of the family's 1533-position model. The record is from RNAcentral.